AUGGCAGCUCAAGGAGACCUGAAGUUGCUAGGCUUGUCGGUGAGCCCAUUCGUAGUUCGUGUUCGCAUGGCGCUCCACAUGAAGGGCUUGAGCUACGAGUAUAUCAAACGGGACCUCUUCAACAAGAGUGAGCUCCUCCUCAAGUCCAACCCGGUGGAGAAGAAGGUGCCCAUACUCAUCCACGAUGGCAAGACCGUACUCGAUUCUUCGGUCAUCGUGCAGUACAUCGACGAAGUCUGGGCCGCCAUGGGGCCGUCGAUCCUCCCUGUCGACCCCUACGAGCGCGCCACCGCCCCCUUCUGGGCCGCCUACGUCGACGACAAACUAUUCUCCGCUUAUGUCGGUGUUAAUAAAGCAGUGACGGAGGUGGAGAGGAUGGAGAAGGUUAGCGAGACGCUUGCGGUGCUAGAGCAACUUGAGGAGGCAUUUGCCAAGCAUUCCAACGGAAAGGGCUUCUUCGCCGGGGACUCCAUCGGGUACCUUGACCUCGCAGUAGGAUGCCACUUGCACUGGCUCAAGGCGCAGUGUAAGAUGUUCGGCGUGGUGUUCCUCGACGCCGGCAAGACUCCGCUCUUAGCGACCUGGGCGAAACGGUUCACUGAGACCGAUGCGGCGAAGGAGGUGGUACCUGACACAGACGUGGUGAUGGAGUAUGCUAAGAAGCGCCAGGCUUAUCGUGUUGCUGUUGCUGCGGCGGCAGCGAGUGCCAAGUGA
RNAcentral lists this ribosomal RNA (714 nucleotides) under Triticum aestivum (bread wheat). RNAcentral describes it as "partial small subunit ribosomal RNA". The record is from RNAcentral. Lineage: Eukaryota; Viridiplantae; Streptophyta; Magnoliopsida; Poales; Poaceae.